GACGGUAUAGCUCAAAGGCAGAGCACAUGCUUAGCAUGCAUGAGGGUCUGGGUUCAAUCACCAGUACCUACU
Molecule: transfer RNA, 72 nt
Filed under: Camelus bactrianus (Bactrian camel)
Lineage: Eukaryota; Metazoa; Chordata; Mammalia; Artiodactyla; Camelidae
Also listed under: 3 other names
Rfam family: tRNA
About the family: Transfer RNA (tRNA) molecules are approximately 80 nucleotides in length. Their secondary structure includes four short double-helical elements and three loops (D, anti-codon, and T loops).
Source: Rfam by way of RNAcentral